This 399-nucleotide ribosomal RNA is filed under the name uncultured bacterium. RNAcentral describes it as "bacterial SSU rRNA". It matches the Rfam family "Bacterial small subunit ribosomal RNA", at positions 356 to 773 of the family's 1533-position model. The record is from RNAcentral.
GGGGAAUCUUAGACAAUGGGGGCAACCCUGAUCUAGCCAUGCCGCGUGAGUGAUGAGGGCCUUAGGGUUGUAAGGCUCUUUCAGCUGGGAAGAUAAUGACGGUACCAGCAGAAGAAGCCCCGGCUAACUCCGUGCCAGCAGCCGCGGUAAUACGGAGGGGGCUAGCGUUGUUCGGAAUUACUGGGCGUAAAGCGCACGUAGGCGGACCAGAAAGUUGGGGGUGAAAUCCCGGGGCUCAACCUCGGAACUGCCUUCAAAACUAUUGGUCUGGAGUUCGAGAGAGGUGAGUGGAAUUCCGAGUGUAGAGGUGAAAUUCGUAGAUAUUCGGAGGAACACCAGUGGCGAAGGCGGCUCACUGGCUCGAUACUGACGCUGAGGUGCGAAAGCGUGGGAGCAAAC